RNAcentral lists this ribosomal RNA (511 nucleotides) under Microbacterium sp. RNAcentral's name for it is "bacterial SSU rRNA". It matches the Rfam family "Bacterial small subunit ribosomal RNA", at positions 95 to 620 of the family's 1533-position model. The record is from RNAcentral. Lineage: Bacteria; Bacillati; Actinomycetota; Actinomycetes; Micrococcales; Microbacteriaceae.
AUGGCGAACGGGUGAUUAACACGUGAGCAACCUGCCCCUGACUCUGGGAUAAGCGCUGGAAACGGCGUCUAAUACUGGAUAUGUGACGUGACCGCAUGGUCUGCGUCUGGAAAGAAUUUCGGUUGGGGAUGGGCUCGCGGCCUAUCAGCUUGUUGGUGAGGUAAUGGCUCACCAAGGCGUCGACGGGUAGCCGGCCUGAGAGGGUGACCGGCCACACUGGGACUGAGACACGGCCCAGACUCCUACGGGAGGCAGCAGUGGGGAAUAUUGCACAAUGGGCGCAAGCCUGAUGCAGCAACGCCGCGUGAGGGACGACGGCCUUCGGGUUGUAAACCUCUUUUAGCAGGGAAGAAGCGAAAGUGACGGUACCUGCAGAAAAAGCGCCGGCUAACUACGUGCCAGCAGCCGCGGUAAUACGUAGGGCGCAAGCGUUAUCCGGAAUUAUUGGGCGUAAAGAGCUCGUAGGCGGUUUGUCGCGUCUGCUGUGAAAUCCGGAGGCUCAACCUCCGGC